This 324-nucleotide ribosomal RNA is filed under the name Triticum aestivum (bread wheat). RNAcentral's name for it is "partial small subunit ribosomal RNA". Lineage: Eukaryota; Viridiplantae; Streptophyta; Magnoliopsida; Poales; Poaceae. The record is from RNAcentral.
UACAUAGAGGACGUCUCCCUUCCCGACCCUAUCCGAAUGGGUCUUCGUGAGUUUACAAAUGCCCCAUUGAAGAAGCGCCGUAGCUGGCGUCCUUGGAGCCCCAAGGAGGAAGAUAGCAUAGAGGUCCUUCAACUGAUGGGCAGGAUAAAAAUGCUUGCCAAAUCUGGAUUGACAACAAUCGAGGUUAUGUCAAUAUGCAUAAUGCGGGGGGUGCAGCUACUCCAGUAUCGGGGGCAUCCCAUGUGGCACUUCAACGGAGAAGACGAUGCCACCGGCUGCGGUCGGAAAGGUCCGGAUUCCGCCACCGCUCUGGCGAAAAUACUG